GAUGAACGCUGGCGGCGUGCCUAAUACAUGCAAGUCGAGCGAACGGACGAGAAGUUUGCUUCUCUGAUGUUAGCGGCGGACGGGUGAGUAACACGUGGAUAACCUACCUAUAAGACUGGGAUAACUUCGGGAAACCGUAGCUAAUACCGGAUAAUAUUUUGAACCGCAUGGUUCAAAAGUGAAAGACGGUCUUGCUGUCACUUAUAGAUGGAUCCGCGCUGCAUUAGCUAGUUGGUAAGGUAACGGCUUACCAAGGCAACGAUGCAUAGCCGACCUGAGAGGGUGAUCGGCCACACUGGAACUGAGACACGGUCCAGACUCCUACGGGAGGCAGCAGUAGGGAAUCUUCCGCAAUGGGCGAAAGCCUGACGGAGCAACGCCGCGUGAGUGAUGAAGGUCUUCGGAUCGUAAAACUCUGUUAUUAGGGAAGAACAUAUGUGUAAGUAACUGUGCACAUCUUGACGGUACCUAAUCAGAAAGCCACGGCUAACUACGUG
This 497-nucleotide ribosomal RNA is filed under the name uncultured bacterium. RNAcentral describes it as "partial 16S ribosomal RNA". It matches the Rfam family "Bacterial small subunit ribosomal RNA", at positions 28 to 507 of the family's 1533-position model. The record is from RNAcentral.